Molecule: ribosomal RNA, 1065 nt
Filed under: Triticum aestivum (bread wheat)
Lineage: Eukaryota; Viridiplantae; Streptophyta; Magnoliopsida; Poales; Poaceae
Description: partial small subunit ribosomal RNA
Source: RNAcentral
GGCGUCCUGCCCCUGGACCUUCUCUACGACGUCCUGCUGCGCCUCCCCGCCGAGACGCUCUGCCGUUUCCGCGCUGUUUGCAGGUCAUGGCGAUCGCUGCUCAGCCACGCGGACUUCAUCGCCGCUGCCCGUAACCCUGGCCCGCUCAUCGCUGCUGGCAUAAAAGAUUACUUAUCAAAAAACGAGGUCACCGUCCUCGACAUGGAGUCCGGCGACGCCGUCACGCGGGUAAACGUCGCCAACAACGACCUUACAUACCCCAUGAGUCACGACCGCGUGGUCUGUAUCCUCGAUCCACAGAACCGGCUCCGCCUGUUCGACCCCGCCAACGGCGAUGUCUUCCUCUUGCCCGACCAUGCGCCGCCUGAGGGGCACAUAUUAAUCUGGUCCCCGGUCGGGGGCGCUGCCUCCACACGAGAGCACAAGGUGCUCGCCAUCACCACAUCGACAUCAGCUAGGCACGAGCCGUUUGUCUGCAAGAUCCUCACCCUCGGCCUCGGUGACGAUGGUUGGAGGGUUACACAGAGUCCUCCGUUGAUGCUGGUUGGAGACGUUGCUGUGAUCAAUGGGGUCGCCUACUUUCUCUCGAGCUAUGCGUACCACCAGACCAUGGUGUAUCAACAGAUCAUGGCGUUCAACUUCAGCAAGGAGGUGUGGCGAUCGUCCGCGGAUUCCCUUCGAGGCCCAGCAAACUGCCAAUGCAUCAAGUUGGCCGAGUUGGAAGGUCAACUGGUCGCAUGCCAGUCCACCAAUCGCCUCACCUCCUCCAUUGAGCUAUGGUUCCUCAUGGACUCGGACCGGUCUCUCUGGUUCAAACGGUACACCAUCAACAUGCCAGCCUACCAAACCCAAACCCACCAGCCACAGAUGUGCUACACCGCUGAGUUCUUCCAGAAGCCAUUAGCAGUGUUGGAUGAUGGGAGGAUUGUGAUUUACAUGCGCCGGCAGGGGUGCAUCUUCAGAAAAGGAAUAUUGCGGAUCUACAACCCAAGAACCAAGACAUUCAAGGAUGGGACAUUGGUACCCCAUUGUAACCAUAUGAGCCUCUUCACGUGGAACUUGUUG